AUUGAACGCUGGCGGCAGGCCUAACACAUGCAAGUCGAACGAGGGGCGGACGGGUGAGUAAUGUAUGGGAAAGUGCCAGAGGGAGGGGGAAAACUACGGGAAAAGGUAGCUAAUAGCGCAUACCAUAGGAUGUGCACAGAUGGGAUUAGCUAGUAGGUGGGGUAACGGCUCACCUAGGCGACGAUCCCUAGCUGGUCUGAGAGGAUGACCAGCCACACUGGAACUGAGACACGGUCCAGACUCCUACGGGAGGCAGCAGUGGGGAAUAUUGCACAAUGGGCGCAAGCCUGAUACAGCCAUGCCGCGUGUAUGAAGAAGGCCUUCGGGUUGUAAAGUACUUUCAGCGAGGAGGCGUUACUCGCAGAAGAAGCACCGGCUAACUCCGUGCCAGCAGCCGCGGUAAUUC
This 406-nucleotide ribosomal RNA is filed under the name uncultured bacterium. RNAcentral describes it as "partial 16S ribosomal RNA". It matches the Rfam family "Bacterial small subunit ribosomal RNA", at positions 29 to 526 of the family's 1533-position model. The record is from RNAcentral.